GUGGAUUAGAUACCCUGGUAGUCCACGCCGUAAACGGUGCGCACUAGGUGUCGGGGGUAUUCACCCCUCCGGUGCCGCAGCUAACGUCUUAAGUGCGCCGCCUGGGAAGUACGGCCGCAAGGCUAAAACUCAAAGGAAUUGACGGGGGCCCGCACAAGCGGUGGAGCAUGUGGUUCAAUUCGAUGCAACGCGAAGAACCUUACCUGGUCUUGACAUCUCGGGAAUCUCCCUGAAAGGGGAGAGUGCCUUCGGGAGCCCGAAGACAGGUGCUGCAUGGCUGUCGUCAGCU
RNAcentral lists this ribosomal RNA (289 nucleotides) under uncultured bacterium. Its description in RNAcentral is "partial 16S ribosomal RNA". It matches the Rfam family "Bacterial small subunit ribosomal RNA", at positions 773 to 1060 of the family's 1533-position model. The record is from RNAcentral.